Molecule: non-coding RNA, 113 nt
Filed under: Candidatus Nanopelagicales bacterium
Lineage: Bacteria; Bacillati; Actinomycetota; Actinomycetes; Candidatus Nanopelagicales
Description: SAM-IV
Rfam family: SAM (S-adenosyl methionine) riboswitch aptamer
About the family: SAM-IV is a mRNA element that regulates gene expression via direct sensing of S-adenosylmethionine (SAM or AdoMet). SAM-IV riboswitches share conserved nucleotide positions with the previously described SAM-I riboswitches sequence analysis and molecular recognition experiments suggest that SAM-I and SAM-IV riboswitches share similar ligand binding sites, but have different scaffolds.
Source: RNAcentral
GGUCACGAGCUCUAAUCGAUAGCCCCGGCUGAUUAGACGGCAACCCUCCACCGCGGUGGGGUGCUCCGGGUGACGACCAGGUUUGCAUCACACGAUGUGAGCAAGUGCGUGAA